CAUAAAUAAUUCAGAACACAUGCUUUAUGUCAACUGUUUCACUGUUACUAUUUUAUCUCUAUAAACAGGGCAGAGGCAAAUCCCAUCCAAACAAGGAAGGGGAGGAAGAUGCAUUGCAAAAUUAUGGCUGGGUCACAUGAGUCAAGCAUACAUCCACAGAUCCAUUUCUGACUGGAAGGCCCAGCUCAGAAACGGGGUGCCUGCAUUUUAGUGCUUGUACACUGUGAGUUGCUGAAUGCCCUUACAGGAAGCUUCCAGGAAAAGAGAACUUUAAAAACAUGAGCAGAAAACGCCAGGCGAAAGUUGUAACCAGCUCUCAGCGUCUGUGGUGCGACAGCCAACAAAUAAUCACCUGCUGCUGAUUUACAGAUUCCUGGGAGGUGUGGUGCUGAGUCUCAAAGAACUGGAACAAGAACAACACCCAAUAUGCUUCUCGGCAAACAGUGUAAUGUAUCCACCUGCUUCGCGCUCUCCUAAUUUAGGCCAUGUGGAGUGUGUAAUGAUGAACUGGCCAACUGGUUAUGUUGCUGUAGAUCUCAUUCCCCACCUUACAAAACACCCCCGGCUGACCCCGUCUUUCAUGAAAGCUCAGCCCAGGGUUUCCAGUCUACCUCUUGGGAGGGAGACAGCUCACAUCAACCCUUCACAAACACACCUCUCUAGAGAGAAAAACACAAUGUUGUGUUGUUUUUAUUUUGUUGGGCAGCUUUUUCAGGUUCUGUAACCCACUUUUCCUUCCCUUUAAACUGUGACCAGUAUUUAUUUAUCCCUUUUUACACACAGCAAUUUAAUUAAGAAACUAAUCAGCGGUGUUGAAAUGAUCCUUGAACUACACCCCUAUCACUGAAGGAAAUUUAUGAAUGCAUUAUACAAGAAAGAUCCUAUUAUCUAAAAAGCUUUCCACUAAAAUGAUUUGGCAUCUGAAAAGUAAGACCUGAAAUUCUGCACUACAUUUAUAAUGUAAAGAUGUGAACAUUAUUUAUAGAGUCUGAAAGGUAUUCCAACUGAUUCUGACAAGUUUGUCAGGAUUGUUUAUUAAAAAUAAAACUGCUCCGUGUUCAAAGGA
Long non-coding RNA from Falco peregrinus (peregrine falcon), 1066 nucleotides. RefSeq lists it as uncharacterized. The record is from RefSeq and is a predicted model, not a curated record. NCBI's taxonomy places the organism in Eukaryota, Metazoa, Chordata, Aves, Falconiformes, Falconidae. The transcript is spliced from 2 exons.